Molecule: ribosomal RNA, 230 nt
Filed under: uncultured Haemophilus sp.
Lineage: Bacteria; Pseudomonadati; Pseudomonadota; Gammaproteobacteria; Pasteurellales; Pasteurellaceae
Description: partial 16S ribosomal RNA
Rfam family: Bacterial small subunit ribosomal RNA
Source: RNAcentral
AUUGAACGCUGGCGGCAGGCUUAACACAUGCAAGUCGAACGGUAGCAGGAGAAAGCUUGCUUUCUUGCUGACGAGUGGCGGACGGGUGAGUAAUGCUUGGGAAUCUGGCUUAUGGAGGGGGAUAACGACGGGAAACUGUUGCUAAUACCGCGUAUUAUCGGAAGAUGAAAGUGCGGGACUGAGAGGCCGCAUGCCAUAGGAUGAGUCCAAGUGGGAUUAGGUAGUUGGUG